GUACACACCGCCCGUCACACCAUGGGAGUGGGUUUCACCAGAAGCAGAUAGUCUAACCGCAAGGAGGGCGUUUGCCACGGUGUGGUCAAUGACUGGGGUGAAGUCGUAACAAGGUAGCCGUAGGUGAACCUGCAGAAGGAUCA
RNAcentral lists this ribosomal RNA (143 nucleotides) under uncultured eukaryote. RNAcentral describes it as "partial small subunit ribosomal RNA". It matches the Rfam family "Bacterial small subunit ribosomal RNA", at positions 1383 to 1525 of the family's 1533-position model. The record is from RNAcentral.